GCCCGUCCAGCCGGCAUGACCCGCUGACUCUUCAUCAGCGGGUCCGGGGUUCGAAACCCUGACGUGGCG
RNAcentral lists this transfer RNA (69 nucleotides) under Mycobacterium avium. Its description in RNAcentral is "tRNA-Lys". Lineage: Bacteria; Bacillati; Actinomycetota; Actinomycetes; Mycobacteriales; Mycobacteriaceae. The record is from RNAcentral. RNAcentral also lists the same sequence under 2 other names.